Molecule: unclassified non-coding RNA, 362 nt
Filed under: Hevea brasiliensis (rubber tree)
Lineage: Eukaryota; Viridiplantae; Streptophyta; Magnoliopsida; Malpighiales; Euphorbiaceae
Source: RNAcentral
UCUACAAUAUUUCUGUUUGUUAUAUCAUUAUAACAUAUUUUUGUAUAUUUAACUUCAUUUCCAUUGGUAGAUUAUGCCGAUAAGUUAUAGCUUCUCCUUUGUGCAAAAGUUGAUGUGUAUAUAUUACUUCUCAUAUGUAUAAGGGGUAGCUUCCCUUUCUUGAUACUAUGUGUAUGCUCCUUUUUGUCUACAAUAUUUCUGUUUGUUAUAUCAUUAUAACAUAUUUUUGUAUAUUUAACUUCAUUUCCAUUGGUAGAUUAUGCCGAUAAGUUAUAGCUUCUCCUUUGUGCAAAAGUUGAUGUGUAUAUAUUACUUCUCAUAUGUAUAAGGGGUAGCUUCCCUUUCUUGAUACUAUGUGUAUG